AGCGUACACGGUGGAUGCCCUGGCAGUCAGAGGCGAUGAAGGACGUGCUAAUCUGCGAUAAGCGUCGGUAAGGUGAUAUGAACCGUUAUAACCGGCGAUUUCCGAAUGGGGAAACCCAGUGUGUUUCGACACACUAUCAUUAACUGAAUCCAUAGGUUAAUGAGGCGAACCGGGGGAACUGAAACAUCUAAGUACCCCGAGGAAAAGAAAUCAACCGAGAUUCCCCCAGUAGCGGCGAGCGAACGGGGAGCAGCCCAGAGCCUGAAUCAGUGUGUGUGUUAGUGGAAGCGUCUGGAAAGGCGCGCGAUACAGGGUGACAGCCCCGUACACAAAAAUGCACAUGCUGUGAGCUCGAUGAGUAGGGCGGGACACGUGGUAUCCUGUCUGAAUAUGGGGGGACCAUCCUCCAAGGCUAAAUACUCCUGACUGACCGAUAGUGAACCAGUACCGUGAGGGAAAGGCGAAAAGAACCCCGGCGAGGGGAGUGAAAAAGAACCUGAAACCGUGUACGUACAAGCAGUGGGAGCACGCUUAGGCGUGUGACUGCGUACCUUUUGUAUAAUGGGUCAGCGACUUAUAUUCUGUAGCAAGGUUAACCGAAUAGGGGAGCCGAAGGGAAACCGAGUCUUAACUGGGCGUUAAGUUGCAGGGUAUAGACCCGAAACCCGGUGAUCUAGCCAUGGGCAGGUUGAAGGUUGGGUAACACUAACUGGAGGACCGAACCGACUAAUGUUGAAAAAUUAGCGGAUGACUUGUGGCUGGGGGUGAAAGGCCAAUCAAACCGGGAGAUAGCUGGUUCUCCCCGAAAGCUAUUUAGGUAGCGCCUCGUGAAUUCAUCUCCGGGGGUAGAGCACUGUUUCGGCAAGGGGGUCAUCCCGACUUACCAACCCGAUGCAAACUGCGAAUACCGGAGAAUGUUAUCACGGGAGACACACGGCGGGUGCUAACGUCCGUCGUGAAGAGGGAAACAACCCAGACCGCCAGCUAAGGUCCCAAAGUCAUGGUUAAGUGGGAAACGAUGUGGGAAGGCCCAGACAGCCAGGAUGUUGGCUUAGAAGCAGCCAUCAUUUAAAGAAAGCGUAAUAGCUCACUGGUCGAGUCGGCCUGCGCGGAAGAUGUAACGGGGCUAAACCAUGCACCGAAGCUGCGGCAGCGACGCUGAUGCGUUGUUGGGUAGGGGAGCGUUCUGUAAGCCUGCGAAGGUGUGCUGUGAGGCAUGCUGGAGGUAUCAGAAGUGCGAAUGCUGACAUAAGUAACGAUAAAGCGGGUGAAAAGCCCGCUCGCCGGAAGACCAAGGGUUCCUGUCCAACGUUAAUCGGGGCAGGGUGAGUCGACCCCUAAGGCGAGGCCGAAAGGCGUAGUCGAUGGGAAACAGGUUAAUAUUCCUGUACUUGGUGUUACUGCGAAGGGGGGACGGAGAAGGCUAUGUUGGCCGGGCGACGGUUGUCCCGGUUUAAGCGUGUAGGCUGGUUUUCCAGGCAAAUCCGGAAAAUCAAGGCUGAGGCGUGAUGACGAGGCACUACGGUGCUGAAGCAACAAAUGCCCUGCUUCCAGGAAAAGCCUCUAAGCAUCAGGUAACAUCAAAUCGUACCCCAAACCGACACAGGUGGUCAGGUAGAGAAUACCAAGGCGCUUGAGAGAACUCGGGUGAAGGAACUAGGCAAAAUGGUGCCGUAACUUCGGGAGAAGGCACGCUGAUAUGUAGGUGAGGUCCCUCGCGGAUGGAGCUGAAAUCAGUCGAAGAUACCAGCUGGCUGCAACUGUUUAUUAAAAACACAGCACUGUGCAAACACGAAAGUGGACGUAUACGGUGUGACGCCUGCCCGGUGCCGGAAGGUUAAUUGAUGGGGUUAGCCGCAAGGCGAAGCUCUUGAUCGAAGCCCCGGUAAACGGCGGCCGUAACUAUAACGGUCCUAAGGUAGCGAAAUUCCUUGUCGGGUAAGUUCCGACCUGCACGAAUGGCGUAAUGAUGGCCAGGCUGUCUCCACCCGAGACUCAGUGAAAUUGAACUCGCUGUGAAGAUGCAGUGUACCCGCGGCAAGACGGAAAGACCCCGUGAACCUUUACUAUAGCUUGACACUGAACAUUGAGCCUUGAUGUGUAGGAUAGGUGGGAGGCUUUGAAGUGUGGACGCCAGUCUGCAUGGAGCCGACCUUGAAAUACCACCCUUUAAUGUUUGAUGUUCUAACGUUGACCCGUAAUCCGGGUUGCGGACAGUGUCUGGUGGGUAGUUUGACUGGGGCGGUCUCCUCCUAAAGAGUAACGGAGGAGCACGAAGGUUGGCUAAUCCUGGUCGGACAUCAGGAGGUUAGUGCAAUGGCAUAAGCCAGCUUGACUGCGAGCGUGACGGCGCGAGCAGGUGCGAAAGCAGGUCAUAGUGAUCCGGUGGUUCUGAAUGGAAGGGCCAUCGCUCAACGGAUAAAAGGUACUCCGGGGAUAACAGGCUGAUACCGCCCAAGAGUUCAUAUCGACGGCGGUGUUUGGCACCUCGAUGUCGGCUCAUCACAUCCUGGGGCUGAAGUAGGUCCCAAGGGUAUGGCUGUUCGCCAUUUAAAGUGGUACGCGAGCUGGGUUUAGAACGUCGUGAGACAGUUCGGUCCCUAUCUGCCGUGGGCGCUGGAGAACUGAGGGGGGCUGCUCCUAGUACGAGAGGACCGGAGUGGACGCAUCACUGGUGUUCGGGUUGUCAUGCCAAUGGCACUGCCCGGUAGCUAAAUGCGGAAGAGAUAAGUGCUGAAAGCAUCUAAGCACGAAACUUGCCCCGAGAUGAGUUCUCCCUGACUCCUUGA
Molecule: ribosomal RNA, 2789 nt
Filed under: Escherichia coli
Lineage: Bacteria; Pseudomonadati; Pseudomonadota; Gammaproteobacteria; Enterobacterales; Enterobacteriaceae
Description: bacterial LSU rRNA
Rfam family: Bacterial large subunit ribosomal RNA
Source: RNAcentral